UUUGGUGACGAUGGCGAAAGGGUUCCACGCGUACCCAUCCCGAACACGACCGUUAAGCCUUUCAGCGCCGAUGGUACUUGGACCGCAGGGUCCUGGGAGAGUAGGACGUUGCCAAGC
Ribosomal RNA from Paenibacillus sp., 117 nucleotides. NCBI's taxonomy places the organism in Bacteria, Bacillati, Bacillota, Bacilli, Caryophanales, Paenibacillaceae. The record is from Rfam.